This 73-nucleotide transfer RNA is filed under the name Candidatus Magasanikbacteria bacterium CG11_big_fil_rev_8_21_14_0_20_39_34. RNAcentral describes it as "tRNA-Thr". It matches the Rfam family "tRNA". From Rfam's summary of the family: Transfer RNA (tRNA) molecules are approximately 80 nucleotides in length. Their secondary structure includes four short double-helical elements and three loops (D, anti-codon, and T loops). Further hydrogen bonds mediate the characteristic L-shaped molecular structure. tRNAs have two regions of fundamental functional importance: the anti-codon, which is responsible for specific mRNA codon recognition, and the 3' end, to which the tRNAs corresponding amino acid is attached (by aminoacyl-tRNA synthetases). tRNAs cope with the degeneracy of the genetic code in two manners: having more than one tRNA (with a specific anti-codon) for a particular amino acid; and 'wobble' base-pairing, i.e. permitting non-standard base-pairing at the 3rd anti-codon position. The record is from RNAcentral. Lineage: Bacteria; Candidatus Magasanikiibacteriota.
GCCAUCUUAGCUCAGUUGGUAGAGCAACGGUUUUGUAAACCGUCGGUCCGGGGUUCGAGUCCCCGAGAUGGCU